GUCAAGCACCAGCAACGUCACCAACAGCAACACCAGCACCACCCACACCAACUUCUUCUCCACCGCCAGCAACCACUCCUCCACCAGUUUCAGCCCCACCUCCUGUUACCCAAUCUCCACCUCCAGCUACCCCUCCUCCAGUUUCAGCCCCACCACCUGCCACCCCUCCUCCCGCAACCCCACCACCAGCAACUCCUCCUCCCGCCACCCCACCACCAGCAACCCCACCACCUGCUACUCCUCCACCAGCAACCCCUCCUCCCGCUGUUCCUCCACCAGCUCCAUUGGCAGCUCCACCAGCUCUUGUUCCAGCUCCAGCUCCCAGCAAGCCUAAGUUGAAGUCUCCAG
This 348-nucleotide long non-coding RNA is filed under the name Populus trichocarpa (black cottonwood). Its description in RNAcentral is "long non-coding RNA (PTRI_LNC002324)". Lineage: Eukaryota; Viridiplantae; Streptophyta; Magnoliopsida; Malpighiales; Salicaceae. The record is from RNAcentral.